AAUCCAAUAUCAACCAAUUUUCAUGAAAGUAGCUCAUUUCUGUAAAUGAAUGUAAAAUUUAAUGUACAUUACAGCACAUGGUGAAGUCUGUAUAUACAUUAACGACGAAUUUGAGACAAAUAAGUGUAAAUUUAAAACUAUGUACAUGGCGCUCGGCGCCGCAGACAGACGCAAAAUGGCGCCGCCGGUACACACACUGUCACAUACUGUACCCUGUGUCUCUUCGUUCCCUAGCUCCCGAGGUCGUGAAUCAGUUUAUCAUGUACACAGGUUCGGGCACUGGUCUUUUUAAAUGGACAGCUUUGUCACUGACUGAGUGGCGGCUGUUUGAGCUGACAGAGACAUUUUUGAGGCCAUCUACAGGGUUGAGAAGAAGACUAUCCGGCAUUCCACUGAAGAGUCCCUGACAGCGUUCAUACACCAAAUGUCUGUUGGAACAAAUAUGGUGGAAUACAGUGGCGGCUCGUGACUGCUCAUCAGAGGAUGCGCUAAUUCAAAAUAAGUGUUCAGAUUGUCACGUGUGUGGUUCCCUUUUCCAAAAUAUGUGUCCUGCGUGUCGAGAGAUCCUGUGUGCAUCACGUGUUUUGUCAAAAUAAGUGCCUGCUGCACACGCGUCAAAACCGUUUAUGAUAAAAGAGACGCUUAUGUUUCUAAAAUACACGCCAGACACUUCCUUAACAGUAAACUCCUAUUAUGCAUGAGAUUAUGCGAGUAUCUGGCAAACGCGAGCAUCUGUUUUAUCAUAAACCCUUUAAACGCGUCUGCAGCAGGAACUUAUUUUGACAUGACACGUGAUGCACACAGGAUCUCUCGAUGGGCAGAACACAUAUUUUAAAAUUACAAACCACACACAUGACAAGCUACAUACAUGUUGUGACGAACUUUGCAUCGAGCAUCCUCGAAUAAAGAAGUCACCGGCCAGCACUGGUGGAAUACCUUCAGCAAUCGAAGCCGUUCCCCUCUGGGAGAUCUCAAGCUGCACACAACCAAUGUUUGAAGACUUAAAGCCUCAAGUUCAAUCCAAUUAUUGAAUGUUGUCAAAUGUUUGAGAGUUGUUUAUUAUUCUAUUUUUCCUUUCUAAUGUUAUUACAGUGUGACCUAAAAUAAAUAGGUCCAAGUGUGCAUUUUUAUAUAGAAUUAAUUGAAUCCAAUAAAAAUUUAAAACUGCUUGAAGUGUGUAAGUGUCUGAAUUUUUCUUUUCUGAAAUAAGGCAUAGUUACACAAUUUAGGUUAUCUUUGACCUUUGGUUAAAAAGGAUCUACUAAUUUCUGGGUUUUUCCACCCAGAUAUUGGGGUUGUUCUUUUGACCCAGAAGUUGGGUUAUAUUAACUACAAUUUUGGGUUAUUUUAACCCAGAAGUUGGGUCAGGUAUUUAACCCAGAAGUUGGGUCAAAAAGAAUAACCCAUUUUUCUGGGUUGAAAUAACCCAGAAAUUAGUUGGUCCCUUUUUAACCCAGGAGUUGGGUCAA
Long non-coding RNA from Paramisgurnus dabryanus, 1469 nucleotides. RefSeq lists it as uncharacterized. NCBI's taxonomy places the organism in Eukaryota, Metazoa, Chordata, Actinopteri, Cypriniformes, Cobitidae. The record is from RefSeq and is a predicted model, not a curated record.